GCCUUCGUGGUGUAGUGGUCAGCACACUCGGCGCGUAUUCGAGAAGUCCGAGGUUCGAAUCCUGGUGAGAGCA
This 73-nucleotide transfer RNA is filed under the name Stegodyphus mimosarum. It matches the Rfam family "tRNA". From Rfam's summary of the family: Transfer RNA (tRNA) molecules are approximately 80 nucleotides in length. Their secondary structure includes four short double-helical elements and three loops (D, anti-codon, and T loops). Lineage: Eukaryota; Metazoa; Arthropoda; Arachnida; Araneae; Eresidae. The record is from Rfam by way of RNAcentral.